This is a long non-coding RNA of Strigops habroptila (Kakapo), 673 nucleotides long. RefSeq lists it as uncharacterized. The record is from RefSeq and is a predicted model, not a curated record. NCBI's taxonomy places the organism in Eukaryota, Metazoa, Chordata, Aves, Psittaciformes, Psittacidae. The transcript has 3 exons.
AAGAAUUUCCUACUCAGACAAAACCCAGCAGAUAACGGUCAUGUUACGUUCUCACCCGUACACGCGCCUCUGCCUACAGCACGAAGAAGAGCCACCGGGGAUUUCCAAAGCCAUUUUGUGCCCAAGUCCGGAGCCCCUCGGCAGAAAAUGGUAGAACUCCUGAACUUAGCUUUACCCCUCUGCACAAAGCCCAUGGACACUUUUGGUGAAGACCUGGGGACACAUCUCGAUGGUAAAAUCCUUUCCAUCGUAAUGCUAUUAGAUUUUCAUCUGACAAAAGAAAACCCAAACAGAAGUUCUGCUGAAGCGAUGUUUGACAGACCUUCCUGUUCCCUACCUCCUCCCUUCCCUGAAGGAAUUCAAAUGCCUCAAAACCAAAGACCUGUGGAAAUGCUGCAGGGACCCGUAUUUCUUCAGAAGAAAUGAUUUCUUUUCAUUAAGUGGCCAAAAUAUCAGUUUCUUACACCUCUUGUUUUAUUAUUCUUGUUUUAAAUUCAUGCUUAGUAUAGUAUCUUGCCUUCUAACUGCUAUUUUUUCCUUCCUACGUGUGCAUCUACGUGUGCAUCUCUUAAAUGUGCACCUACUGACAGGACUCCUGUGGCAAACUAUUACAUUAUAUAGAUUAAGAAAUGGCUGAAUAAAUAUUUCUUAAAAAGGCAAAUGCUGUGGAGUG